UACGGAGGUGGCAAGCGUUGCUCGGAAUCACUGGGCGUAAAGGGCGCGUAGGCGGCGCGGUAAGUCACUUGUGAAAUCUCUGAGCUUAACUCAGAACGGCCAAGUGAUACUGCAGUGCUAGAGUGCAGAAGGGGCAAUCGGAAUUCUUGGUGUAGCGGUGAAAUGCGUAGAUAUCAAGAGGAACACCUGAGGUGAAGACGGGUUGCUAGGCUGACACUGACGCUGAGGCGCGAAAGCCAGGGGAGCAAACGGG
This 253-nucleotide ribosomal RNA is filed under the name uncultured bacterium. RNAcentral describes it as "partial 16S ribosomal RNA". It matches the Rfam family "Bacterial small subunit ribosomal RNA", at positions 524 to 776 of the family's 1533-position model. The record is from RNAcentral.